GGAUGGUUGAUUGAUAUAAUGCACAAUGCCCUACUAUUCUAGACAUAAUGUACAGCGCGCUAAGAGAAUACAAUCGAUCGUCCAUAAGGGAAUGCACCCCGCGGAAAGGAAACAAGGGCUAAUUGGCCGCACUCUACCCUGUUAUGGGGCAAGAAAGGGAUUGACAAACGAAGCACUGGGGAUUCAGAAAAGGGAGAGACCAUUUGUUAAUAAAAGGCAUAAAGGUAGCACUGGAUAAACUUUCUCCGAUCUAUGAUGAUGCCUGCCUUCCCUUUCCCUUCCCUUACUAAUGUGGGAUCAGUUCCUCCCGAACACCUCCUAGGAGCGUCGCAUUCGAUGCAUA
Molecule: unclassified non-coding RNA, 343 nt
Filed under: Hevea brasiliensis (rubber tree)
Lineage: Eukaryota; Viridiplantae; Streptophyta; Magnoliopsida; Malpighiales; Euphorbiaceae
Source: RNAcentral